RNAcentral lists this ribosomal RNA (196 nucleotides) under Staphylococcus saprophyticus. RNAcentral describes it as "partial 16S ribosomal RNA". It matches the Rfam family "Bacterial small subunit ribosomal RNA", at positions 120 to 309 of the family's 1533-position model. The record is from RNAcentral. Lineage: Bacteria; Bacillati; Bacillota; Bacilli; Caryophanales; Staphylococcaceae.
GGUAACCUACCUAUAAGACUGGGGAUAACUUCGGGAAACCGGAGCUAAUACCGGAUAACAUUUGGAACCGCAUGGUUCUAAAGUGAAAGAUGGUUUUGCUAUCACUUAUAGAUGGACCCGCGCCGUAUUAGCUAGUUGGUAAGGUAACGGCUUACCAAGGCAACGAUACGUAGCCGACCUGAGAGGGUGAUCGGCC